Molecule: ribosomal RNA, 520 nt
Filed under: uncultured Glomus
Lineage: Eukaryota; Fungi; Glomeromycota; Glomeromycetes; Glomerales; Glomeraceae
Description: SSU rRNA
Rfam family: Eukaryotic small subunit ribosomal RNA
Source: RNAcentral
AGCAGCCGCGGUAAUUCCAGCUCCAAUAGCGUAUAUUAAAGUUGUUGCAGUUAAAAGCUCGUAGUUGAAUUUCGGGGUUAGCAGGUCGGUCGUGCCAAUGGUAUGCACUGGCCUUGCUGAUUCCUCCCUCUUGAUGAACCGUAAUGCCAUUAAUUUGGUGUUGCGGGGAAUCAGGACUGUUACUUUGAAAAAAAUUAGAGUGUUUAAAGCAGGCAAGCGCUUGAAUACAUUAGCAUGGAAUAAUGAAAUAGGACGUUUGAUCCUAUUUUUGUUGGUUUCUAGGAUUGACGUAAUGAUUAAUAGGGAUAGUUGGGGGCAUUAGUAUUCAAUUGUCAGAGGUGAAAUUCUUGGAUUUAUUGAAGACUAACUACUGCGAAAGCAUUUGCCAAGGAUGUUUUCAUUAAUCAAGAACGAAAGUUAGGGGAUCGAAGACGAUCGGAUACCGUCGUAGUCUUAACCAUAAACUAUGCCGACUAGGGAUCGGGUGAUGUUAAUUUUUAAUGACUCAUUCGGCGCCUUA